AAUCAGUAGAGCCUUUGAAGGAAAGAGAAACUGGGAGCUGUCCACGAGCCCUUGGGGUGAAUCACACAGCCGCUGCAAACCUGUGCUCUGGGGCCCUGUGGAGCGUGUCCUGGUAGAAGCUGACAGGGUGAGGAUGCUAACCCAGCAGGCAAAGAAAACAGCUCUGCAAUACUCCAGGAGGGAGAAAGAUAAUACCGGAUUUCUAGGCCAGCUCCUUGGCGGAUGUGAAUGGGUAUCAGAAUGGUGAAGAAAGUGCAGUGGCUCCAAUUUUCACCAGAGGAGGAUCCGGCCUGUUUAAUCUGUUUGGAACUACCACUCAACUUCAAAGUGUAAUGGAACCACACAGCUGUGUUUGCAGAGUCCCUGAGCUGGGUCCAGGCACUCUUUGGGGCACGGAUUACAGAGCUGCUGGAGGACUAGCUGGCUUCAGCACAGAGCCUGAGGGUGCAAUCCAUACUCCAUCAGAUCUAAUCUGUAUCCCGUGUGUCCCGGAGGGGUUCUCUGCUCUGCCAUGAUGGCUCAUGUAAGUAUCCCUGUCGCUGGGCUCCACAUCCUGGUGUGGUCUCCCUAUGGCCACCUCUAUUGUGGCUAUGCAGGGAAGAACCCACCCCCGGCUGCCUUAGAUCGCCUUUGACUGUGGCUCUGGGUGCGGUGAGGGAGAAGCACAAAUCGGUGGGGAAG
RNAcentral lists this long non-coding RNA (681 nucleotides) under Chrysemys picta bellii (western painted turtle). Its description in RNAcentral is "lncRNA (ENSCPBG00000016073.1)". The record is from RNAcentral. Lineage: Eukaryota; Metazoa; Chordata; Testudines; Emydidae.